RNAcentral lists this long non-coding RNA (211 nucleotides) under Elaeis guineensis (African oil palm). Its description in RNAcentral is "long non-coding RNA (EGUI_LNC046199)". The record is from RNAcentral. Lineage: Eukaryota; Viridiplantae; Streptophyta; Magnoliopsida; Arecales; Arecaceae.
GUCCGUCUGCUAUGUCCAACUUUGUCACAAUUUUGGCACGUAGUUCUAUUUUCGACUUUUGUCCUAUCCAUUUUAUUCCUCAGUCUAGAGGAUCAUGGCCUUCCCUUUUGUCGCAAUCGUUCUUUUUAUGGUAUAUGGUGAUGUCACUUGUUUGUUGCGUCUAAUAAUCUGUAUGCGGGAUGGGUUGGAAUUAAUGACUAUAACUAUGAUG